Molecule: long non-coding RNA, 986 nt
Filed under: Nicotiana benthamiana
Lineage: Eukaryota; Viridiplantae; Streptophyta; Magnoliopsida; Solanales; Solanaceae
Description: long non-coding RNA (NBEN_LNC008700)
Source: RNAcentral
GACAAGAAGUAGUAAUAGUAAAAUCAUGUCCAAAUAAAAAGUAUUUUGACAAUAACUUAGUAAUUAAUAUUGCAUAUAUGAAAUAUUAAUAUCUAAUGGAUAAGGUAUUUAACUUAUUAUUAUUGGCAUAUAGAUAAUGGACUAAAUAUAAAAUAUAAAAAAUUUGGAUUUUCGGAUAUCCAAAAAUUCAAAGUACCAAAUCCAACAUCCAAUCCAAAAUCCAAAAAAUUUGAAAAUAAAAUCCAAAAUCCAAUCCCUAAUCCUAAAAUUCUAACCAAAAAAUUCGAAUUUCGAGUUUGCCCAAACUAUGCCCACAUCUAGUUAUGAAUAUAACGAACCUGAUUCAUGAUAUAUUCAGGUGCGGAGUUAGAACACGACCUCCACGUUCGACAGAAUUCAAUAACUUUUGUCCAAACUAUGCAUUUGUCUUAAGAAAUUUAUCGAAUAUGAAUAAUUUAUUAGAACCAAGUAACUUAAAUAUUAAAAUCACGAACCCAUAAGCUGCAAAUCCUGGUUGCUUCUUCGCCUCUAUAUAUUCCAUCUUGCUCCAUCAAACUCCCAAUAUCGCGAUAAACAGCUUAAAUAUAGUUGACAUGGGAAUGUUAGGGAUAAGGUGAUAGAACAAUUUGGUCUGGUGAAGACGUCUGAGAGUUGGAGGUAUAAGAAUAAUUUGAACGUUUCCUACACAGUAAGAAAAUCAGAGUGACAAGAAAAAGGGUAAAAAGAAUAACAAGUAGCAGCAACAUAAUUUCUCCAUUGUGAGCAAAACUAUGAUUAUUAUCAGAUAACAUCGCAUCAUCUUUCUGCGAAAAAUCAUCAGGAGUCAUGUACGAGGGUGUAUUCAAAGGAUACAUCAGGGAGAUAUACAGUGCUUAGUGUUAACAAACUUAUGGUAUAUUUAUUCUUCCUUUUCAUCAGGAUGUAGAAUAUGACUGAAGCUUUAAGAAGGUGAGGUUUUAAGAUAGUUUCUUGGCAUGUUAUGCUGU